AUACCACCUGGCAGGAGAUACCAUGAUCUGUGAAGGUGCGUUCACCCAGGGCGAGGCUCAGCCAUUUACGCCGGUUGUGCUGACCGAUGCGAAUUCCCCAAAUGUGGGAAUCUAGAGCUGCAUAAUUUGUGGUAGUGGGGAAUCGUCCGCUCUCCCCU
Hippoglossus stenolepis (Pacific halibut) is the source of this 158-nucleotide small nuclear RNA. RefSeq annotates it as U1 spliceosomal RNA. The record is from RefSeq and is a predicted model, not a curated record. NCBI's taxonomy places the organism in Eukaryota, Metazoa, Chordata, Actinopteri, Pleuronectiformes, Pleuronectidae. The transcript has a single exon.